CCUACGGGGGGCUGCAGUGAGGAAUAUUGGUCAAUGGCCGUAAGGCUGAACCAGCCAAGUCGCGUGAAGGAAGAAGGAUCUAUGGUUUGUAAACUUCUUUUAUAGGGGAAUAAAGGUAUCCACGUGUGGAUAUUUGCAUGUACCCUAUGAAUAAGCAUCGGCUAACUCCGUGCCAGCAGCCGCGGUAAUACGGAGGAUGCGAGCGUUAUCCGGAUUUAUUGGGUUUAAAGGGUGCGUAGGUUGUUUUUUAAGUCAGCGGUGAAAGUUUGUGGCUCAACCAUAAAAUUGCCGUUGAAACUGGCAGACUUGAGUGUGUUUGAGGUAGGCGGAAUGCGUGGUGUAGCGGUGAAAUGCAUAGAUAUCACGCAGAACUCCGAUUGCGAAGGCAGCUUACUAAGCCAUAACUGACACUGAAGCACGAAAGCGUGGGGAUCAAACAGGAUUAGAUACCCCAGUAGUC
This 460-nucleotide ribosomal RNA is filed under the name uncultured bacterium. RNAcentral's name for it is "partial 16S ribosomal RNA". It matches the Rfam family "Bacterial small subunit ribosomal RNA", at positions 338 to 795 of the family's 1533-position model. The record is from RNAcentral.